GUCCUAAGGUAGCGAAAUUCCUUGUCGGGUAAGUUCCGACCUGCACGAAUGGCGUAAUGAUGGCCAGGCUGUCUCCACCCGAGACUCAGUGAAAUUGAACUCGCUGUGAAGAUGCAGUGUACCCGCGGCAAGACGGAAAGACCCCGUGAACCUUUACUAUAGCUUGACACUGAACAUUGAGCCUUGAUGUGUAGGAUAGGUGGGAGGCUUUGAAGCGUGGACGCCAGUCUGCGUGGAGCCAACCUUGAAAUACCACCCUUUAAUGUUUGAUGUUCUAACGUAGACCCGUGAUCCGGGUUGCGGACAGUGUCUGGUGGGUAGUUUGACUGGGGCGGUCUCCUCCCAAAGAGUAACGGAGGAGCACGAAGGUUAGCUAAUCCUGGUCGGACAUCAGGAGGUUAGUGCAAUGGCAUAAGCUAGCUUGACUGCGAGCGUGACGGCGCGAGCAGGUGCGAAAGCAGGUCAUAGUGAUCCGGUGGUUCUGAAUGGAAGGGCCAUCGCUCAACGGAUAAAAGGUACUCCGGGGAUAACAGGCUGAUACCGCCCAAGAGUUCAUAUCGACGGCGGUGUUUGGCACCUCGAUGUCGGCUCAUCACAUCCUGGGGCUGAAGUAGGUCCCAAGGGUAUGGCUGUUCGCCAUUUAAAGUGGUACGCGAGCUGGGUUUAGAACGUCGUGAGACAGUUCGGUCCCUAUCUGCCGUGGGCGCUGGAGAAUUGAGGGGGGCUGCUCCUAGUACGAGAGGACCGGAGUGGACGCAUCACUGGUGUUCGGGUUGUCAUGCCAAUGGCAUUGCCCGGUAGCUAAAUGCGGAAAAGAUAAGUGCUGAAAGCAUCUAAGCACGAAACUUGCCCCGAGAUGAGUUCUCCCUGACUCCUUGAGAGUCCUGAAGGAACGUUGAAGACGACGACGUUGAUAGGUCGGGUGUGUAAGCGUAGCGAUACGUUGAGCUAACCGAUACUAAUGAACCGUGAGGCUUAACCUU
Molecule: ribosomal RNA, 983 nt
Filed under: Klebsiella planticola
Lineage: Bacteria; Pseudomonadati; Pseudomonadota; Gammaproteobacteria; Enterobacterales; Enterobacteriaceae
Description: bacterial LSU rRNA
Rfam family: Bacterial large subunit ribosomal RNA
Source: RNAcentral